UUGACAGAGAGGAGCAAGGAGGGGUGAAACCCCAACUUCACAAAAUCCACAAGAAUUACUAGAAAUCUUAAGGAAAUCGAAAGAAUAAUCAUCAAAUUCUAAGCUCCUACACCUGUUCUUUGAAGUGGAACGUGUCAAGGAGAGCUCAAGCAUAGGAGGAUAACGGGUCAAGAUAAGGCAAGGUGACAAAUACACUUAUUGGAAUACUCAAGGUUAUGAAUGUCGGACUUUCGAAGUGUUGAUAUAAUAAUGAAACGGUUGAAUGUUGAAAGGAUAAUCGGAUUGAAGUAACUUAUGCGGUAAAUCCUCAAUUUUGGCGACUUGGAGAAUCGGAGCGAGCGCGUGUUCGUGUUAUGCGAUACCAAACGCUUCCGCUAGCUUGUUCAAAUGUUUUUGAUCCAAAAUUUGUUGUAUUGGUUUUUAGUAGUAUCUUGUUGAACGAAUUGUAGAAUUGUAUCUAGUUUGUUUAUGU
This 472-nucleotide long non-coding RNA is filed under the name Helianthus annuus (common sunflower). RNAcentral describes it as "hypothetical non coding rna". The record is from RNAcentral. Lineage: Eukaryota; Viridiplantae; Streptophyta; Magnoliopsida; Asterales; Asteraceae.